RNAcentral lists this ribosomal RNA (475 nucleotides) under uncultured bacterium. RNAcentral describes it as "bacterial SSU rRNA". It matches the Rfam family "Bacterial small subunit ribosomal RNA", at positions 30 to 526 of the family's 1533-position model. The record is from RNAcentral.
AUUGAACGCUGGCGGCAUGCCUAACACAUGCAAGUCGAACGGAGAUAGGGGCAACCUUAUUUCAGUGGCGGACGGGUGAGGAAUGCGUCGGAAUCUGCCCUAUGGUGGGGGAUAACACAGGGAAACUUGUGCUAAUACCGCAUAAUGUCGAGAGACCAAAGCAGGGGACCGCAAGGCCUUGCGCGAUAGGAUGAGCCGACGCCCGAUUAGCUUGUUGGUAGGGUAAUGGCCUACCAAGGCGACGAUCGGUAGCUGGUCUGAGAGGAUGAUCAGCCACACUGGGACUGAGACACGGCCCAGACUCCUACGGGAGGCAGCAGUGGGGAAUAUUGGACAAUGGGCGCAAGCCUGAUCCAGCAAUACCGCGUGUGUGAAGAAGGCCUGCGGGUUGUAAAGCACUUUCAGUUGGGAAGAUAAUGACGUUACCAACAGAAGAAGCACCGGCUAAACUCCGUGCCAGCAGCCGCGGUAAAGU